RNAcentral lists this ribosomal RNA (253 nucleotides) under uncultured bacterium. RNAcentral describes it as "partial 16S ribosomal RNA". It matches the Rfam family "Bacterial small subunit ribosomal RNA", at positions 524 to 776 of the family's 1533-position model. The record is from RNAcentral.
UACAGAGGUCCCGAGCGUUGUUCGGAUUCACUGGGCGUAAAGGGUGCGUAGGUGGCAUGGUAAGUUUGAUGUGAAAGCUCAGGGCUUAACCCUGAAAUGGCAUUGAAUACUACUGUGCUGGAGGUUUGGAGGGGGGACUGGAAUUCUUGGUGUAGCAGUGAAAUGCGUAGAUAUCAAGAGGAACACCAGUGGCGAAGGCGAGUCCCUGGACAACACCUGACACUGAGGCACGAAAGCUAGGGGAGCAAACGGG